CAGUAGGGGUUCUGAGAGGAAGGUCCCCCACAUUGGAACUGAGACACGGUCCAAACUCCUACGGGAGGCAGCAGUGAGGAAUAUUGGUCAAUGGGCGAGAGCCUGAACCAGCCAAGUAGCGUGCAGGAUGACGGCCCUAUGGGUUGUAAACUGCUUUUAUAGGGGAAUAAAGUGAUCCACGUGUGGUUUUUUGCAUGUACCCUAUGAAUAAGGACCGGCUAAUUCCGUGCCAGCAGCCGCGGUAAUACGGAAGGUCCGGGCGUUAUCCGGAUUUAUUGGGUUUAAAGGGAGCGUAGGCCGGAGAUUAAGCGUGUUGUGAAAUGUAGAUGCUCAACAUCUGCACUGCAGCGCGAACUGGUUUCCUUGAGUACGCAUAAAGUGGGCGGAAUUCGUGGUGUAGCGGUGAAAUGCUUAGAUAUCACGAAGAACUCCGAUUGCGAAGGCAGCUCACUGGGGCGCAACUGACGCUGAAGCUCGAAAGCGCGGGUAUCGAACAGGAUUAGAUACCCUGGUAGUCCGCGCGGUAAACGAUGGAUGCCCGCUGUUGGGCCAACUGGUUCAGCGGCCAAGCGAAAGCAUUAAGCAUCCCACCUGGGGAGUACGCCGGCAACGGUGAAACUCAAAGGAAUUGACGGGGGCCCGCACAAGCGGAGGAACAUGUGGUUUAAUUCGAUGAUACGCGAGGAACCUUACCCGGGCUUGAAUUGCAGAGGAAGGAUUUGGAGACAAUGACGCCCUUCGGGGCCUCUGUGAAGGUGCUGCAUGGUUGUCGUCAGCUCGUGCCGUGAGGUGUCGGCUUAAGUGCCAUAACGAGCGCAACCCCUCUCCAUAGUUGCCAUCAGGUUAAGCUGGGCACUCUGUGGACACUGCCACCGUAAGGUGUGAGGAAGGUGGGGAUGACGUCAAAUCAGCACGGCCCUUACGUCCGGGGCUACACACGUGUUACAAUGGCAGGUACAGAGAGCCGGUCGUAUGCAAAUACGAUCCAAUCCUUAAAGCCUGUCUCAGUUCGGACUGGGGUCUGCAACCCGACCCCACGAAGCUGGAUUCGCUAGUAAUCGCGCAUCAGCCAUGGCGCGGUGAAUACGUUCCCGGGCCUUGUACACACCGCCCGUCAAGCCAUGAAAGCCGGGGGCGCCUGAAGUCCGUGACCGCAAGGAUCGGCCUAGGGCGAAACUGGUAAUUGGGGCUAAGUCGUAACAAGGUA
This 1207-nucleotide ribosomal RNA is filed under the name metagenome. RNAcentral describes it as "bacterial SSU rRNA". It matches the Rfam family "Bacterial small subunit ribosomal RNA", at positions 281 to 1498 of the family's 1533-position model. The record is from RNAcentral.